RNAcentral lists this ribosomal RNA (118 nucleotides) under Diaphorina citri (Asian citrus psyllid). The record is from RNAcentral. Lineage: Eukaryota; Metazoa; Arthropoda; Insecta; Hemiptera; Psyllidae.
GCCAUCCGUGACAGCACGUUGAAUGUAUCAGUUCCCAAUGGAUCACUGAAGUUAAGCUACGUUCCGCGUGGUUGGUAUCCAAAUGGGUGACCAUCUGGGCAACCGCGUGCUGCUCGCA